GAUGAACGCUAGCGACAGGCCUAACACAUGCAAGUCGAGGGGCAGCACAAGGAGCAAUCUGAGGUGGCGACCGGCGCACGGGUGAGUAACACGUAUGCAACCUGCCUGUAAGAGGGGGAUAACCCGUUGAAAGACGGACUAAUACCGCAUAAUACUGAAUAAUCGCAUGGUUAAACAGUUAAACAUUUAUGGCUUACAGAUGGGCAUGCGCAUGAUUAGCUAGUUGGUGAGGUAACGGCUCACCAAGGCAACGAUCAUUAGGGGUUCUGAGAGGAAGGUCCCCCACACUGGUACUGGGACACGGACCAGACUCCUACGGGAGGCAGCAGUGAGGAAUAUUGGUCAAUGGGCGAGAGCCUGAACCAGCCAAGUCGCGUGAAGGAUGAAGGUUUUAUGAAUUGUAAACUUCUUUUGCAGGGGAAUAAAGUACGGUACGUGUACCGUUUUGUAUGUACUCUGCGAAUAAGGAUCGGCUAACUCCGUGCCAGCAGCCGAC
Molecule: ribosomal RNA, 496 nt
Filed under: uncultured bacterium
Lineage: Bacteria
Description: bacterial SSU rRNA
Rfam family: Bacterial small subunit ribosomal RNA
Source: RNAcentral